UACGGAGGGUGCAAACGUUGCUCGGAAUCAUUGGGCGUAAAGCGCACGUAGGCGGUCUGUUAAGUCGGAUGUGAAAGCCCCGGGCUCAACCCGGGAAGUGCAUACGAAACUGGCGGACUUGAAUAUGGAAGAGGGUCGCGGAAUUCCCGGUGUAGAGGUGAAAUUCGUAGAUAUCGGGAGGAACACCAGUGGCGAAGGCGGCGACCUGGGCCAAUAUUGACGCUAAUGUGCGAAAGCGUGGGAGCAAACAGG
This 252-nucleotide ribosomal RNA is filed under the name uncultured bacterium. RNAcentral's name for it is "partial 16S ribosomal RNA". It matches the Rfam family "Bacterial small subunit ribosomal RNA", at positions 524 to 776 of the family's 1533-position model. The record is from RNAcentral.